Long non-coding RNA from Camellia sinensis, 1247 nucleotides. RefSeq lists it as uncharacterized. The record is from RefSeq and is a predicted model, not a curated record. NCBI's taxonomy places the organism in Eukaryota, Viridiplantae, Streptophyta, Magnoliopsida, Ericales, Theaceae.
UAAUCUUAUUAUUUUGUUCAGAAUCAAUUUUUAAUUAAAUUUCACCAUAGGUUCUAAAAAUUAUGCUAAUCACAAUGGUGCAAUCAAUUUUGAUUUAUGAUGCCUUUACGGCCCUCAAUUUUUAAUUUAUAGAAACUUACAGAACAGAUUUCCUACGGUGGACAGAUAUAGCAUCAAAAACACAUCCGUAUAAUUAGCACGCAAAAUCAUAUCAAGCACAUAAUUUAGCAUAAUUAAGAUUAAUUAGCAUAACACAGAGUAGAGUUAUUACACGUUGUUUCCUGCGACGGGUCAAAACGACAUCGUUUGAUCCUUUUUUUUUUUCGUUUGCCUUUUGUUUGUAAACCCUAACCUCUCUUUGAGAAAGACAAGCAAAGAGGGCAACGCAAGCAGCCGACUGACUCAUGAGGUUCUCAGGCAGUCUCUCCCUUCGAAGACCUUCCAGUCACCUUCCAAGUUGUCUCUCUCUAGAGCAUCCAAGUGGGUUCUUCACUCCGAUCUCAAAAAUGCCCUUUCUGUCUCCCACGAAGCUUUAAACCCUUUUCGAGCUUACGUUUCUCUCCCCCGGGUCACUUUUGGCCCUAAAAGGUGGUAGUUGCCUAAUACAGAUAGCUCUGUUUUAGCAUCCACUGCUAAUGAAUUGCGCCGUGACAAAUACACCCCUGUUAAUCCUAAGAAGUUGAAGGCUGCAGCUGUAGGGCUAUCACAAAACUCCAUGAAAAAAGAAAAAGGAGGCGGGGGAAAUUUUACAUUGGAGAGGCUUGGCUCAAUGGCUAGGCUUGUCGUUAGCAUUCUCAGUGUCUUUCUGCCUUAGAAAAGCAAUACAAUGAUACCGAGUGUUCGUCUCGUACAAAAACCUUCUGUUGUCUUUGGCAGUGCCACCUUGAUGGUUGGAUUGGCAGCUUCUAAACUAGAGUUGCACAAUCUUCCUUGCAGGUAAGCAAGUAGUUGGCCUGUAAAGAGCAUUGUGAGAUUGCAAUUUGCAAUCUUUGGCAACAAAUCUAGACAUGGACGCCAUAGAAGAUUGGAUGGAAAGGGAAGAAAAAGAAUCGAUGGAGGGGGUUCGCAAUCUUGAGGCUGCAAUUUGCAAUAUUUGCAAUUAAUUGCUUGUUUUGUUUUAUUUGAUUUGUUUUGAAAUCUGGGUGGUAUGAUGUACUUAGUAUUUGGUUUGAAAUCUAGAUUUCUAAGAAGCACUACAAGUGCUUGUAAAAAUGUUUGAUUGAAUAUAGUUGCUUUAUUUUGGUUAA